GACGAACGCUGGCGGCGUGCCUAAUACAUGCAAGUAGAACGAGUUGCGAACGGGUGAGUAAGGCGUGGGAACCUGCCUAAUAGCGGGGGAUAACUAUGGGAAACGAUAGCAAAUACCGCAAAAUGUGAGAUGGAACGGCGUUGUAUUAGCUAGUUGGUGAGGUAAAGGCUCACCAAGGCGACGAUACAUAGCCGACCUGAGAGGGUGAUCGGCCACACUGGAACUGAGACACGGUCCAGACUCCUACGGGAGGCAGCAGUGGUGAAUAUUGCACAAUGGGCGCAAGCCUGAUGCAGCCAUGCCGCGUGUAUGAAGAAGGCCUUCGGGUUGUAAAGUACUUUCAGCGGGGAGGCGUUACCCGCAGAAGAAGCACCGGCUAACUCCGUGCCAGCAGCCGCGGUAAUUC
Molecule: ribosomal RNA, 406 nt
Filed under: uncultured bacterium
Lineage: Bacteria
Description: partial 16S ribosomal RNA
Rfam family: Bacterial small subunit ribosomal RNA
Source: RNAcentral